Molecule: ribosomal RNA, 464 nt
Filed under: uncultured bacterium
Lineage: Bacteria
Description: partial 16S ribosomal RNA
Rfam family: Bacterial small subunit ribosomal RNA
Source: RNAcentral
GACGAACGCUGGCGGCGUGCCUGACACAUGCAAGUCGAGCGAAUGAAGUUCCUUCGGGAAUGGAUUUAGCGGCGGACGGGUGAGUAACACGUGGGCAACCUGCCUCAUAGAGGGGAAUAGCCUUCCGAAAGGGAGAUUAAUACCGCAUAAGAUUGUAGUAUCGCAUGAUACAGCAAUUAAAGGAGCAAUCCGCUAUGAGAUGGGCCCGCGGCGCAUUAGCUAGUUGGUGAGGUAACGGCUCACCAAGGCGACGAUGCGUAGCCGACCUGAGAGGGUGAUCGGCCACAUUGGGACUGAGACACGGCCCAGACUCCUACGGGAGGCAGCAGUGGGGAAUAUUGCACAAUGGGGGAAACCCUGAUGCAGCAACGCCGCGUGAGUGAUGACGGCCUUCGGGUUGUAAAGCUCUGUCUUCAGGGACGAUAAUGACGGUACCUGAGGAGGAAGCCACGGCUAACUACGUG